RNAcentral lists this ribosomal RNA (301 nucleotides) under uncultured bacterium. Its description in RNAcentral is "partial 16S ribosomal RNA". It matches the Rfam family "Bacterial small subunit ribosomal RNA", at positions 509 to 808 of the family's 1533-position model. The record is from RNAcentral.
CAGUCGCCGCGGUAAUACGGAGGGCGCGAGCGUUACCCGGAUUUACUGGGCGUAAAGGGCGUGUAGGCGGCCUGGGGCGUCCCAUGUGAAAGGCCACGGCUCAACCGUGGAGGAGCGUGGGAUACGCUCAGGCUAGAGGGUGGGAGAGGGUGGUGGAAUUCCCGGAGUAGCGGUGAAAUGCGCAGAUACCGGGAGGAACGCCGAUGGCGAAGGCAGCCACCUGGUCCACUUCUGACGCUGAGGCGCGAAAGCGUGGGGAGCAAACCGGAUUAGAUACCCCGUAGUCCCUGUCUCUUAUACA